This 348-nucleotide unclassified non-coding RNA is filed under the name soil metagenome. Its description in RNAcentral is "partial contains 5.8S ribosomal RNA, internal transcribed spacer 2, and large subunit ribosomal RNA". The stretch from base 1 to 120 matches the Rfam family "5.8S ribosomal RNA", at positions 35 to 154 of the family's 154-position model. The record is from RNAcentral.
GAUGAAGAACGCAGUGAAAUGCGAUACGUAAUGUGAAUUGCAGAAUUCAGUGAAUCAUCGAGUCUUUGAACGCACAUUGCGCCCCCUGGUAUUCCGGGGGGCAUGCCUGUCCGAGCGUCAUUGCUGCCCUCAAGCACGGCUUGUGUGUUGGGCCUCCGCCCCCCGGCUCCCGGGGGGCGGGCCCGAAAGGCAGCGGCGGCACCGCGUCCGGUCCUCGAGCGUAUGGGGCUUCGUCACCCGCUCCGUAGGCCCGGCCGGCGCCCGCCGGCGACCCCCCUCAAUCUUUCCAGGUUGACCUCGGAUCAGGUAGGGAUACCCGCUGAACUUAAGCAUAUAAUAAGCGGAGGA